Long non-coding RNA from Acanthaster planci (crown-of-thorns starfish), 873 nucleotides. RefSeq lists it as uncharacterized. The record is from RefSeq and is a predicted model, not a curated record. Lineage: Eukaryota; Metazoa; Echinodermata; Asteroidea; Valvatida; Acanthasteridae.
AUGAAUAGAUUGACGUCAGCAAUUCAGGUCAUCACUAUAGAGACCGGUGGUGUGCUUUCAGGCAAGGUUGUGGGUUCGCCGAUUUUAAUGAAGAGACUGCGAUCAAGUAGCACCUACUUUACUAGGGAGCUGCAAUCAAUUUCCACCUAUGGGUGAUCGAUUUAAAGAAAAUGAGUUUAUUUACUCAAUGUUUAUACACAAGAUUUUCACUCUUCUGUUUCAAAUAAUUCAAACCGGUGGUGCUUUACGAUCCCGCACUUCUUCACACCCCUACAACCUGGAACCUAAUGGAAUCGACCAUCACGGCGGCUCAAUCGGUAGUUCGGAUCUCCGGCAACUUCCAAAUAUGGUGAGGAGUUCCUUUCGUAAGCAAGCCGAGUCUUAUUACUUCCGACUAAUUUGCAUGACAUUGCAACGUCAUCGAGUAUAUGCCACGCCUGGAUAAACAAUCCGAAGAUCAACGAACAGGUCCGACUGGGCUUCGGUUCCUGGGAAUCGCUAGGCACAACUGAAUAGUAAACAGAGGCAGCUUUGAUACUACAAGUUCACGUGGCGAGAGUUUGCAUUAACCCCCAUUAUGCUAAGUGUAUUCAAUUCCUGGUAAAAAAAACCUUGCCUUUUUCUGUAAGCGUGCUGCGAUAUGGUGGUCGUUGUUUUCAGUGCACAGGACGAACACUGCCAGUGUAUUCCUGUUACUACAGUUACACAAUUCUCGUGACCUGAAAUACCAUCUGGUCUCCUCUGACAUGAUUUUCGUGGACCUGUUUUUGGGGGGCAUUGCAGCCAGUGCUUCUGAGGCUGCAAAUGGCGUCCCGGUGGAUAAUCAGGAUUCGGGCCGGCAUGAUUCACAGCAAAGAUAGUCUAAGCACUGCU